Pongo abelii (Sumatran orangutan) is the source of this 148-nucleotide unclassified non-coding RNA. It matches the Rfam family "Metazoan signal recognition particle RNA". Rfam says of the family: The signal recognition particle (SRP) is a universally conserved ribonucleoprotein. It is involved in the co-translational targeting of proteins to membranes. NCBI's taxonomy places the organism in Eukaryota, Metazoa, Chordata, Mammalia, Primates, Hominidae. The record is from Ensembl.
GCUGGGUGUGGUGGCGGAUGCCUGUAAUCCCAGCUACUCAGGAGGCUGAGGCAGGAGAAUUGCUUGAACCCGGGUGGCGGAGGCUGCAGUGAGCCAACAUCGCGCCACUGCACUCCAGCCUGGGCAACAGAGCAAGACUCUGUCUCAA